ACAUCCAGCGAACUUGGCAGAGAUGCCUUGGUGCCCUCGGGAACGCUGAGACAGGUGCUGCAUGGCUGUCGUCAGCUCGUGUUGUGAAAUGUUGGGUUAAGUCCCGNAACGAGCGCAACCCUUAUCCUUUGUUGCCAGCGAUUUGGUCGGGAACUCAAAGGAGACUGCCGGUGAUAAACCGGAGGAAGGUGGGGAUGACGUCAAGUCAUCAUGGCCCUUACGAGUAGGGCUACACACGUGCUACAAUGGCGCAUACAAAGAGAAGCGACCUCGCGAGAGCAAGCGGACCUCAUAAAGUGCGUCGUAGUCCGGAUCGGAGUCUGCAACUCGACUCCGUGAAGUCGGAAUCGCUAGUAAUCGUGGAUCAGAAUGCCACGGUGAAUACGUUCCCGGGCCUUGUACACACCGCCCGUCACACCAUGGGAGUGGGUUGCAAAAGAAGUAGGUAGCUUAACCUUCGGGAGGGCGCUUACCACUUUGUGAUUCAUGACUGGGGUGAAGUCGUAACAAGGUAAGCGUAGCGAG
Molecule: ribosomal RNA, 525 nt
Filed under: uncultured bacterium
Lineage: Bacteria
Description: bacterial SSU rRNA
Rfam family: Bacterial small subunit ribosomal RNA
Source: RNAcentral